AAUAUUGGACAAUGGGGGCAACCCUGAUCCAGCCAUGCCGCGUGGGUGAAGAAGGUCUUCGGAUUGUAAAGCACUUUAAGUUGGGAGGAAGGGCUUUAGGCUAAUACCCUGAAGUUUUGGCGUUACCAACAGAAUAGGAACCGCCAAACUCGGUGCCACCCGCCGCGAUAAUACAGAGGGUGCAAGCGUUAAUCGGAAUGACUGGGCGUAAAGCGCGCGUAGGUGGUUCAGUAAGAUGGGUGUGAAAUCCCCGGGCUUAACCUGGGAACUGCUUUCAUAACUGCUGAGCUAGAGUACGGUAGAGGGUAGUGGAAUUUCCUGUGUAGCGGUGAAAUGCGUAGAUAUAGGAAGGAACACCAGUGGCGAAGGCGACUACCUGGACUGAUACUGACACUGAGGUGCGAAAGCGUGGGGAGCAAACA
Molecule: ribosomal RNA, 422 nt
Filed under: uncultured bacterium
Lineage: Bacteria
Description: partial 16S ribosomal RNA
Rfam family: Bacterial small subunit ribosomal RNA
Source: RNAcentral